This is a long non-coding RNA of Myotis brandtii (Brandt's bat), 1826 nucleotides long. RefSeq lists it as uncharacterized. The transcript is spliced from 2 exons. Lineage: Eukaryota; Metazoa; Chordata; Mammalia; Chiroptera; Vespertilionidae. The record is from RefSeq and is a predicted model, not a curated record.
CCUGAGACCUCGCCUCCGCCUCGGGAGAUGCCCCCUUUCCACCAGCCACCGCCCGGCCCCACCGCCUGCAGCCCCUAGAAGUUGGCAGGGCACCAAUCGGAAGGGAGAGCCAAGCAAAACCCACUGAAGUCUAGACCUGCUGGCACGCCCCCGCCCCCCAGCCACACGGAGCUUUCAGGCAUUUGAAAUGUGGUUAAUCCAAAUCCAGGUGGGCCAUAGUAUGAAAUACACACCAGGUUUUGAAGACUUAUACUAGAAAAAGAAUGUAAACUGUCUCAGUAAUGUUAUAUGAAUUACACGUUGAAGUGAUAAGAUUUUUGAUACAUUGGCCUAAAUAACAUAUUUUAGUGUAACUACAAGAAAAUUUAAAAUUAUACAUCUGACUUACAUUUGUGGCCCGCAUUAUUUUUCCCUGGGACAGCACGAUUUGGAGGGGAGAGAGGAAAAUGCUUAUUCCUGUCGGUGUAUUCUGUACCCCUAAAUUCUGGUAGGAAGGAUUUGAGGGUUUUAUUUUGUAUUAACAUCUUAAGACCCAUUUUUAGGUAGAAAGAAUGAAUGAGAAAUCAACUCUGGAAAUUAUUCAACACCUUAGCAUAGUCUAGAAGAGGUGUAGGGAAGCAACUACAUUGCAUUAUGGCGCCGCAGAAGCAUCAUGUAACAAGGUCAGGCCCGAGUCUGGCUUUGCCCUAGAAUUACUUUUUGAUCUUAGCAAAACAACAACAGAAAACCCCACCUAUGUUGGCCUUUUAGUGUUCUCAGUUUGUAGCAGAGAUAAUGCCUCUGCCUUACUUUCGAGGGAUAAAUGAGAUGAUCCCUGUAAAAUGCUUUGAACUCCACUAAGAAAAUUCUCAAUAAUAGUUACAGGUCAAAUCCUGUUACAAAAAAAUACUCAAAAAAAAAAAAAAAGGCACUGUGUAGAAAAAGAUUUCUAAACUCCAGCCAGUGGUUUACUUAUUAAAAGCAAUAUUUGCUAUGACAUUUCAGUACACCUAAAGAAUUUAGACCAUCGCUUUGAGAUCAUUGUAAAGAAUUGUACUUAUUCAUACUGUUAUAAGGCUAUUGAGGUGGGAACUCUGCAAAUUGAGGUAAUAUCAUCAACUUAGCAUUUAUUGAUUUUGCUAUACUGUGUACUGUGAGGGAUGCUGGAAGACAGAAAUAAAUACUGUAUAUGGCUCCUAUAUUUUGUGUUCAGAUUUGUGUUAGACACAUUUGUAAUUUCUUACUGUGUGACUGUUUUUUAACUGUUCCUUUACACAGUAAAAUUGAGUAAUGUAUCCACAUUGUACCUAGAUUUUAGUGGAAAACUUCAAGGCUCAGAAAUUGUUUAAUUAAUCCAGUAUAAAUCAAAUCAGUAUUAAAAUCCACAAUCACACCAGUGCAACUUAUUCUUUUACCCCAUGUUACCUUUAUUGAUGGAGAAAUUAAAUAAUCACUACAAAACAUCAAAUCACCCUCUUUCACACCCAAAUUAGACAUUAAGUGAAUGGUUCAAGGUAGAAUUGAUGGUUUAGUGAUUGCCCCAAAAAAUCCAAAGUACUCACUAUGCAGAAAGGCAAAGCCAAAAUGGAAAAUUGGAAUAUAUUCUGUUAUCAUAAGAGCUUUCCAUGUAUUGUUCCACUUAUUCCUAUCAACAACCACAUGAGGAAGAUACUAUUAACCCAUUUUGGGCAGAAGAUGAAACAGGCCUAUGAUCACAUGGUUCCUGGAUGGAAGAACAGGUAGGUAUUAAAUCCAAUCUAACCCCAAAGCUUGCUCUGAACCAUGCCUUCACCAUACACAGCAGAAAAUGGAAUAAGGGACCUCUAAGGUCCCUUACAACUAAUAAA